Chiloscyllium plagiosum (whitespotted bambooshark) is the source of this 593-nucleotide non-coding RNA. Lineage: Eukaryota; Metazoa; Chordata; Chondrichthyes; Orectolobiformes; Hemiscylliidae. The record is from RefSeq and is a predicted model, not a curated record.
GUUUGUACCAGAAGUUUUGCCUAAGCACACUCCAGCUUGACCUUCACGCUGCCGCUAUUUCUUAAUAAUUUGGUUACUGAUUUUACUGAUUGCGAAGCCCGUCCCGCCCUCUGAACCAUUAAUUUCGUUUUCAAUAGGUCAGGCGAGAGCAAUGGCAGCGCCUUUACCCACCAUCCCUCGCGGUGGGGAAUGCCCCCUAUUCUGGCCACGGGAGAGCAGGUGCGCAGGCGCAGUACCACCCAGCGGCCGGAGCAUGCGCACUGACCGCCAACACCAGGGGGGGCCCAGAGACGCCGUGUUUUUUUCACCCUCUCAUCCGCCGGCGGUGUUGGAGGUGAUUUCCUUGGAUUCCAGGGGUUACUGUUUUACACGCAGCCGCAUCGUUUUGGAACUUUGGGGAGAAAAGGAUCAAAAGCGACACUUUUAAAAGCGGGAAGACAGACAAAAGGCAGCGAGCACACGGUUGAGAAGGAGCUGGGGACCUUGACCAGGAAAGUCAAUCCACACCAGAUGAAGAGCUGACUGGGGGGGGGGGGGUGUGGGGGUCAGAGCACCGUUGACCCGCGGCAGGAGGGACGGGCUGGGCGUAGGCG